Long non-coding RNA from Ictalurus punctatus (channel catfish), 725 nucleotides. RefSeq lists it as uncharacterized. The record is from RefSeq and is a predicted model, not a curated record. NCBI's taxonomy places the organism in Eukaryota, Metazoa, Chordata, Actinopteri, Siluriformes, Ictaluridae. The transcript is spliced from 4 exons.
ACACAAACGGUGAUGAAAGUCUUCAGAAACAGGGUGUAAUUACCGCAGAACCGCGUGUGACUGUGGGUUCUAAUGCUAGACUGCCACUGUAACGUGAUCUCGGGGAAAUAACUUUAGUUAUCGCGAGAUCUAAAAAAACAAACAAACAAAAAAAGCGAGUUCUGCUCGUUUCUAUAGUAACAAAGGGAACCGGUUAAAAACAGAAAGAGGAGUCUCAAGUGCAGGUUUUUCUACAAGGAAUCAGGUUUGCAGUGAGGACCAUCUUCAUCACACUGAAGUUCCUGGGCCAUCAUGCUGCUCAAAAGCAACACUUUCAUAAGGUUGUUUCUGGUCUCGGUUCUGAUUGGAAGAGCUCUGAGCGCACCUGUUAUAGAAAGAGAGAUGGCUAAUGAAAACACACCUCUAGACUUGCUGUUUGACCCAGAGCCUGUUAAGGAUCAUUUUACUCUGAUGGACGAUUAUGGAGUGAUACCAGUUCCACCUCAUGUGCCAUCAUAUCUCCUCAGGGCACAAGCUCAGACUAGUCCAGCUUAGAGGAAGAUUAAUUCCAUCCCCCCACCCCAAAAAAAACCAAGUCCUGAUCCCAGUCCCACUCUAUUAGAGACAAAGCUUGAUUCAGAACGUGACAUUAGAAAUGAAUAAUAAAUAACCAGCUGUGUCCUGCUUCUCCUUUUCAUUACACAAGCACACAUUUCUUCAUUUAACUCAAAUAGGUUUCAGUACGA